AUGGCCGAGGCCGCCCUCGGUGCGGCGCAAUGGGUGGUGGGCAAGGCGCUAGGCCCCGUCGCGGAUGGCGUGCUGGAGGCUUGGGCUGCCAGCACCAACUUUGCUCCCAACAUCCAGGAGCUCAGCAAGGAACUGCUGUUCGUCAAGGCCAUGCUCGAACGAGCUGCCACCAGGGAGCUCGUCGGGCCAGCUACGGUGGAGCUGCUGCACAAGCUGCAGGACUCGGCGCACAAUGCCGAGGACUUGCUGGACGAGCUAGACUACUUCCGCAUCCACGACGAGCUCCACGGCACGUACGAGGCUGCUGACCAGCAUGAUGAGGGUUGCGUCUGCGACCUGGCCCUCAAUGCUCGCCACACCGCCAAAACUAUUGGCAAACAGCUGGCAUCUUUGACCACGUGCUGCUUCGGUGCCAACACUGGCCAUCCCCGACAAGAAGAUGCAAGACAACAUGUCAGCUGUUGCGCCUGGAAGUGUGGUAGGCAGAGAUCACCCGGUGAUUCCUCCUCUGUGCCAAACGCCAAUCAGCCAGGUCAGGAGGUCAGCGGAUGCAUGUGCAAACUUGGUAAACUCUUCUCUGGCUCAUCUUCCUCACAUCCACAUGUUCCUGGUGAUGAAGAUCAUGGCAAUGUGCAAGAAACACCAAUGCCUGAAUUUAACAGGGUUGUUUUCUCUCAAAGGAUGAAGAAUGCUAUAGAGCAAUUAAAGCUUAUGAGUGAGGAUGUUAACAAGAUUCUGACACAUUGUGGCCCUAGAACUACCACAGACACUGCCCAGCAUCGUUCCCCCACCACACCGCAGAGUGCAGAGCCAAAACUAUAUGGGAGGGACCAUGUCAUGAAUAGCAUCAUACAUGAUAUCACUGCGGGACAAUACUGUGACAAGGGUCUAACUGUUCUUCCAGUUAUUGGUCCGGGGGGCAUGGGGAAGACAACUUUGAUACAACACAUAUAUAACAAUCAACAAGUGCAGAAUCAUUUUCCAGUCAGGAUUUGGAUAUGUGUGUCAUUCAGUUUCAACCUGGACAAGGUGCUAGAACAGAUUAAAAGAUAUUCCCCUGAAGUUGAAGGUGAAAAAGAGUGUAGCACUACACAAGAGCUGAUUGAACACAGAUUAAAAUGCAAAAGGUUCUUACUUGUAUUGGAUGAUAUAUGGCAGUUUACUGAUGUGGAUGACUGGAAAAAACUGUUAUUGAUACUCGGCAAGUCACAAGAAAAGGGCUCCAUGGUUCUAGUCACAACUCGGCAGAAAGAGAUAGCAGAUCAAGUUAAGAAAACUGUAGAACCAAAAGAAUUGAAUGGUUUAGAACCUGGAGAGUUUAAGAAGUUAUUCCUUGUAUAUGUCUUUGAUGCUGAGCAAUAUCCAAGGGAUAAACUUCAUUUGCUUAACACUGGAGAUGAGAUAAUGGGAAAACUUAAGUGCUCCCCUCUUGCAGCAAAGACUGUUGGUAGAUUACUGAGCAAAGACCUUAGUUUGCCGUAUUGGAAAAGGGUCCUAAAAUGUAAAGAAUGGGCGAAGCAGACCGAUGACAAUGGAAUUAUGCCUGCCUUGAAGCUUAGCUAUGACUUUCUCCCUUUCCAUUUGCAACAGUGUUUUUUCUAUUCUGCAUUGUUUCCUGAAGAUUACUUUUUCAGAAGCGAAGAGCUUAUCGGCCUGUGGGAUGGUCUAGAUAUUUCAAUACCUGCUGGUCAAAAUCAAACACUUGAAGACAUAGGUUUGAGAAAUUUAAAGGAGUUAGUCAUUCAUGGAUUUUUUAGAGAAGGGGGAACUGAUGGUGAUCUGUGGUAUGUUAUGCAUGACCUGCUGCAUGAUUUGGCAUUGCAGGUUGCAUCCCAUUAUUGUCUCAGUUUACGUCUCUCUAAUGUUAGAUCAAUGGAAAUUCAGCCAUCCAUCCGUCACUUGUCUAUAAGCACAGAUGACUUGGGUGAAUAUGAUGCAAUGUCUGGUGCAAAAUUGAAGAGUGAAUUGGAAGAACUGAAGAAAAGAUUUAAGGUUGAAGAUUUGCAAACAUUGAUGUUAUUCGGAAAAAUGGAUGAAAGUUUUGUCAAGAUAUUUGGUGACUUUUUGGGGGAAGUGAACGAUCUUCGUGUUCUUCAUUUGCCCAAUAUGCUCUGUCCGGUGGAGUCCAUGUUACAUAAGUUUUUAGGACUUGUCCACCUACGAUAUCUAUGUCUAGGGACAAAUGAGAGCGAGAUGCAUUUGCCACUUGGCAUCUCUAAAUUUUAUCAUCUAAGGUUUCUAAAUCUUAAAUGGUGGAAUGGCAGCCGUGAUUUGCCUGACAUGAGCAACCUUGGGAAAUUGUGCCAUUUUUAUGUCCCAACUGAUGGUCAGCUUCAUUCUGAUAUUUAUAAUGUGGGGAGACUUGAACUCUUAGAAGAGUUGAAGGUAUUUCAAAUCAAUAAAAGAAGUGAAGGGUUUGAACCAAAGCAGCUAGAGCACUUGACAAAGCUAAGGGAGCUUGGGAUCUACAACCUUGAGAAGAUAGAUACAACAGAAGAAGCAGCUCAAGCAAAACUGAUGGAGAAAAAUUACUUGAGGAGGUUAACAUUGGACUGGGAUAGUAAGCGAUCUAGUGUUGAGCAUGGUGUGGAAGCAGCGGUUCUUGAGAGCCUUCAGCCACAUGGAGAUCUUCAGGUGUUGUGCAUUAGAGGGCAUGGAGGUCCUUCUUGUCCAACAUGGCUAGGUGAUGAGUUCGCUGUUGAAGGUCUACAAUCUCUUUAUCUGGAUGGUGUUUCUUGGGAAGUUUUCCCUUCUUUAGGGAAGGCGUGGGAUCUUCGUGAAUUAAGGUUACAGAAUAUUGCCAGACCGAAGGAUUUUAUCAUAGAGAAAAGCUUUUGCAUGCUAACACACCUUAUACUCAUUGGCCUAGGAAGUUUUGAAAAAUGGGUUUACACAGGUGGACAAGAGUCUUCCAUUGGUGGAGACUUGUUGCCACCGACUGCUCAUCUGUUCCCUAUUUUGCAAGUUCUGAUUAUUAGAGAGUGCCCGAGGCUGUUGGGGUUGCCUUUCCCAAACCACAUUGUUUCCCCAGAUUGGUUCUCCAAGCUACAAGAGCUUGAGGUAAGCGACUGCCCCGAAUUCUUGCCAGUGAUUCCCAUCUCCUGGAUCGAAAGGGUGCGUUCUGUCACGAUGAAAUGUGUAAAGAUGCUAAAGGAUUUUGCAUACUUGAAAUCAUCUGGUGGAGCAAAAUUGAGAAUUACCGGAGAGAGUGAUCUGCUUAGCUUAGACCAAGUGCUGGUUUUUAAUAAAGAAACAGGUCUAGAGAAGCUGACACUGGACAAGUGCCCACCUCUGGAGUUGAAGCACCUUCUGAUGCUAACCUCGCUGAGGACAUUGAUUGUAGAAAAUUCAGUUGGUGUAGUUGGACCACUAGGAGGAGGUCAGAGUGAUGUGGAAUGGCAGCUCCCUGUUGAGUAUAUCAAGAUCUACAAGUUAAAUGGUAAUACUGGCAAGGAACUGACAGAGCUCCUCCACCACCUCCCAAAGCUCUCCAAAUUGGAAGUAUGGAGGUGUAAAAACAUAAAACAGCUUGUAGUGGGGGUGGAUGUGCAACAAACAACACAAGGAGCAUUAGAGAUGCUGCUCUUCCCACCUCAUUUAUGUGACUCACUACGGGAAUUGGAGUUGAGUCACUGCCCAGAGCUGGUCCUGGUGGACCCUCCAACUCUUGUUCCUGGUGGAGGAUGGCUCCAAGCCUUGCAAUCCCUCCAGAGAUUAACAAUAUGGUUGUCCCCAAAGUUUCUAUCCACCUUCUCCUUUUCCCAUCACCUUUUUCCUUCCUCCCUGCAAUUCCUGAAUCUUAGGAGUGUGAAAGGCAUGGUGACACUGGAGCCCCUCUCAAACCUAUCCUCUCUUGUCAGAUUAGAAUUGUGGAAUUGCGGAGAGGAUUUGAAAUAUCAGGGCUUUUGGCCUCUCCUUACCAAAUUAGAGGUCAGGGGUAGCCCUAGAUUCUUUGCUGAUUGGGAUCCCAAUACCAGACGGGUUUUGGAGGAUGCUGAGGGAGGUGAAGAGCAGCAGACACAGCUUGUUUCAUCCACACUGCGUGAGCUCGGGACAGAUGUCAUAGCAGGACUUCUUGCUGCACCCGUCUGUAGAUUCCUCUUUUCCUCCCUCAACAAGCUGAAACUUUGGGGGGAUUGGUGUGAAGGGAUGGAGCGCUUCAGCAAGGAGCAAGAGGACGCCCUUCAACUCCUCUCCUCCCUCCAGAAACUAGAGUUUUGGAGUUUCAAGGACCUUCAACAACUCCCUGCAGGGCUGCGUAAACUUACCAGCCUCAAGAUAUUAUUAGUCAACUGCUGUCCAGCCAUCUCGUCGUUGCCCAACGAUGCCCUCCCGGAUUCACUGGAAAUGCUAGAUGUCUACAACUGCAGCGAAGAGCUAAAACAGCAGUGCAGGGGGUUGGAGGGAACCAUCCCAAGAGUCAGAAUACUCUGA
Molecule: ribosomal RNA, 4434 nt
Filed under: Triticum aestivum (bread wheat)
Lineage: Eukaryota; Viridiplantae; Streptophyta; Magnoliopsida; Poales; Poaceae
Description: partial small subunit ribosomal RNA
Source: RNAcentral